RNAcentral lists this ribosomal RNA (422 nucleotides) under uncultured eukaryote. RNAcentral describes it as "bacterial SSU rRNA". It matches the Rfam family "Eukaryotic small subunit ribosomal RNA", at positions 592 to 1018 of the family's 1831-position model. The record is from RNAcentral.
CAAUAGCGUAUAUUAAUGUUGUUGCAGUUAAAAAGCUCGUAGUUGGAUUUCUGGUGGGUUUUGAUGAGCCGGCGCUUAGCGUGUGAGCUUAUUCGAAUCCCGCCAUCCUAGGGAAAAAUCUUGUUGGCAUUUAGUUGUCGACUUGCUGAUUCCCUUCGUUUACUGUGAAAAAUUAGAGUGUUCAAAGCAGGCUUAUGCCAUUGAAUAGUCCAGCAUGGAAUAAUAAGAUAGGACUAAUGUCUAUUUUGUUGGUUUGUUGAUGUUAGUAAUGAUUAAUAGGGACAGUUGGGGGUAUUCGUAUUCCACGGUCAGAGGUGAAAUUCUUAGAUUCAUGGAAGACGAACUACUGCGAAAGCAUUUACCAAGGAUGUUUUCAUUAAUCAAGAACGAAAGUUAGGGGAUCGAAGAUGAUCAGAUACCGU